RNAcentral lists this ribosomal RNA (318 nucleotides) under uncultured eukaryote. RNAcentral describes it as "partial 18S ribosomal RNA". It matches the Rfam family "Eukaryotic small subunit ribosomal RNA", at positions 1470 to 1796 of the family's 1831-position model. The record is from RNAcentral.
CCCUUAGAUGUACUGGGCCGCACGCGUGCUACACUGACGCAUACAGCGAGCACUUUCCAGUUCCGAGAGGCUACUGGUAAUCAUCAAUAUGCGUCGUGAUGGGGAUAGAUCUUUGGAAUUCUGGAUCUUGAACGAGGAAUGCCUAGUAAUCGCAGGUCAUUAGCCUGCGAUGAUUAAGUCCCUGCCCUUUGUACACACCGCCCGUCGCUACUACCGAUUUCGAGUGGUCAGGUGAAUCUUUCGGACUGUGGGCGCCCUUGAGGUGUUCGCGGAAAGUCAGGUAAAUCUUAUCACUUAGAGGAAGUAAAAGUCGUAACA